Molecule: ribosomal RNA, 253 nt
Filed under: uncultured bacterium
Lineage: Bacteria
Description: partial 16S ribosomal RNA
Rfam family: Bacterial small subunit ribosomal RNA
Source: RNAcentral
UACGUAGGGGCCGAGCGUUGUCCGGAGUUACUGGGCGUAAAGCGCGCGCAGGCGGUCUGCUAAGCCCGGCGUGAAAGCCCCCGGCUCAACCGGGGAGGGUCGUCGGGGACUGGCAGACUUGAGGACGGCAGGAGCUGGUGGAAUCCCCGGUGUAGUGGUGAAAUGCGUAGAGAUCGGGGGGAACACCCGUGGCGAAGGCGGCCAGCUGGGCCGGACCUGACGCUGAGGCGCGAAGGCGUGGGGAGCGAACGGG